RNAcentral lists this ribosomal RNA (388 nucleotides) under uncultured bacterium. Its description in RNAcentral is "bacterial SSU rRNA". It matches the Rfam family "Bacterial small subunit ribosomal RNA", at positions 30 to 417 of the family's 1533-position model. The record is from RNAcentral.
AUUGAACGCUGGCGGCGUGCUUAACACAUGCAAGUCGUGCGGUAACAGGCGUAGCAAUACGUGCUGACGAGCGGCGAACGGGUGCGUAAUACAUGGGAAUCUGCCUUUUAGUGGGGAAUAACCCGGCGAAGGCCGGGCUAAUGCCGCAUAAGAUCUUCGGAUGAAAGCGGGGGAUCGUAAGACCUCGCGCUGAUAGAUGAGCCCAUGCCGGAUUAGCAGUUGGUGAGGUAACGGCUCACCAAGGCGACGAUCCGUAGCUGGUCUGAGAGGACGGCCAGCCACACUGGGACUGAGACACGGCCCAGACUCCUACGGGAGGCAGCAGUGGGGAAUAUUGGACAAGUGGGGAAACCCUGAUCCAGCGACGCCGCGUGUGUGAAGAAGGCCU